GGGAAUAUAAUAGUAGAAUCUCUGCUUUAUAGAACUUCCUUUGCUAUUUCUUUCAGUAUCUUAGGAGGCGUGGACAGCGGAGAUAGAGAAAGUUUUCUUUCGAAAAUGAUUUUGGCUUUAGAUUAAUCUUCUACUUCACUGCAUGAUGUUUUUAUUAUCUUUUGGUGAAUCUCUUUGGCUUAUCAGACAUUU
Molecule: small nucleolar RNA, 192 nt
Filed under: Kazachstania africana CBS 2517
Lineage: Eukaryota; Fungi; Ascomycota; Saccharomycetes; Saccharomycetales; Saccharomycetaceae
Description: Small nucleolar RNA snR9
Rfam family: Small nucleolar RNA snR9
Source: Rfam by way of RNAcentral